AGUGAACGCUGGCGGUAGGCCUAACACAUGCAAGUCGAACGGCAGCACAGUAAGAGCUUGCUCUUACGGGUGGCGAGUGGCGGACGGGUGAGGAAUACAUCGGAAUCUACUUUUUCGUGGGGGAUAACGUAGGGAAACUUACGCUAAUACCGCAUACGACCUACGGGUGAAAGCAGGGGAUCUUCGGACCUUGCGCGAUUGAAUGAGCCGAUUUCGGAUUGGCUAGUUGGCGGGGUAAGGGCCCACCAAGGCGACGAGCCGUAGCUGGUCUGAGGGGAUGACAGGCCCACCGGAACUGAGACACCGGCCCAACCCCCAAGGGAGGGCAGAGGGGGGAAAUUUUGGAAAAGGGCGAAAGCCCUACUGAGGCCAUCCCCGUGGGGGAAAAAGGGCUUCGGGUUGUAAAACCCUUUUUUUUGGGAAGAAAAAACGUCUGAUUAACUCCCCGCUUUUUGACGGGACCCAAAAAAAAAGCCACGGCUAACUUCGUG
Molecule: ribosomal RNA, 491 nt
Filed under: uncultured bacterium
Lineage: Bacteria
Description: partial 16S ribosomal RNA
Rfam family: Bacterial small subunit ribosomal RNA
Source: RNAcentral